RNAcentral lists this long non-coding RNA (807 nucleotides) under Cyanistes caeruleus (blue tit). RNAcentral's name for it is "lncRNA (ENSCCEG00000015852.1)". The record is from RNAcentral. Lineage: Eukaryota; Metazoa; Chordata; Aves; Passeriformes; Paridae.
CAGCUAUUGCAGUGGGGUAGAUCACAACCAAGUCCUUGAUCACAGGCUGCAGAGAGGAAGGAGAUGUCAGGGUGCCAAUUUACAAAUGAUGAAUAACAUUCUACACUUCCACAUGAGGGCUGGGUGUGUUGUCACAGUCUCCUAAAGCUGACACAGGGGCACACGAGCCCAGAUGCAUCCCAUCUAAGUCACGGAAUUUAUCUGAGGCAUCUAAACUAGGAGCUUACUUAACGUUGCCCUCAUGUCUAAUUAGAGAGUAUGAGCACAUCUGGAAGAUGCUGUCACUCAAGAAGGACAUGUGAUCUUCUAAAACUGCAACAAUCCUGACCCCCAAAGCUUGAUUUGAUGCAUCUCAUACAAAUCCACCCCAUGGAUCUGACAACUGCCUGCGAUUCUUUCUAAUUGAAGCAGAGAUCAUUGAAAAGUCUCAGAAGACAAAACUUACCUGAAUUAAGAUGUCAGAUAUCCUAGCAUUUGGGAAUUAUGCCAGUGGUAAUAGAGUUGUAGUAUUUUCUGCUGUGGACACAGAAGAAAAACUCCCAGAGAAAAACACCAGAGCCAGCCAAUAAAGUUCAUCAUCCUUUUCACAGUCAUACCUGCACACUUCUUUCCAGUUCACCUCCUGCAGGACAACUUCAGAUAACUCCUGAAACUCAGGUCAGUCUGCCCCUCCAGAAUUAAAGUGCCUCUGGUUUGAGAUGAACAAAAUUCAACUCAGCAUAAACAGCAACUCUUGGAGUUGUUACUGUGUUACCUUAAUUUCCUUACUGGAGAAGUAAAAAUACAAUAAUGUAUGGAAUGUUUGCA